This 206-nucleotide unclassified non-coding RNA is filed under the name uncultured Diversisporaceae. RNAcentral's name for it is "sequence contains 18S rRNA gene". The record is from RNAcentral. Lineage: Eukaryota; Fungi; Glomeromycota; Glomeromycetes; Diversisporales.
UACGGUGAUCCUAGAAACCAACGAAAUAGAAUCAGUCCGUCCUAUUUCAUUAUUCCAUGCUAAUGUAUUCAGACGUUAGCCUGCUUUAAACACUCUAAUUUUUUCAAAGUAACAGUCCUGAUUUCCAAUCACACCAAAUUAAUGACAUGAAAGUUCCUCAGAAGGUAGAGAUUUAUCUCACCAGUACAGACAAUUAAGCCUGACCA